RNAcentral lists this long non-coding RNA (217 nucleotides) under Capsicum annuum. RNAcentral's name for it is "long non-coding RNA (CANN_LNC010326)". Lineage: Eukaryota; Viridiplantae; Streptophyta; Magnoliopsida; Solanales; Solanaceae. The record is from RNAcentral.
GGUCAUUCGCCUAAGCCUGUGAGACAUGUCAACUAAGUAUCUAAAUUUUCCUAAAUAGAUGGAUCCUCUACACAAUUAUCAUUAUUAUCCAUGACCUAUUGUCCUGCAAAGAAAAACAUAAAAGAAAACUGGCAAGAACAGCAAAACUAAACCCAUGCAAUUGCUUUAGCCCCACAAUGUGUUCAAACUAUUUACUAUCAAUUUGGGAUUGUUAAAU